This 482-nucleotide ribosomal RNA is filed under the name uncultured bacterium. Its description in RNAcentral is "partial 16S ribosomal RNA". It matches the Rfam family "Bacterial small subunit ribosomal RNA", at positions 30 to 507 of the family's 1533-position model. The record is from RNAcentral.
AUUGAACGCUGGCGGCAUGCUUUACACAUGCAAGUCGAACGGUAACAGGCCGCAAGGUGCUGACGAGUGGCGAACGGGUGAGUAAUGCAUCGGAACGUGCCCAGUCGUGGGGGAUAACUACUCGAAAGAGUAGCUGAUACCGCAUACGAUCUAUGGAUGAAAGCGGGGGACCGUAAGGCCUCGCGCGAUUGGAGCGGCCGAUGUCAGAUUAGGUAGUUGGUGGGGUAAAGGCUCACCAAGCCAACGAUCUGUAGCUGGUCUGAGAGGACGACCAGCCACACUGGGACUGAGACACGGCCCAGACUCCUACGGGAGGCAGGAGUGGGGAAUUUUGGACAAUGGGCGCAAGCCUGAUCCAGCAAUGCCGCGUGCAGGAAGAAGGCCUUCGGGUUGUAAACUGCUUUUGUACGGAACGAAACGGCUCUGGUUAAUACCCGGGGCUAAUGACGGUACCGUAAGAAUAAGCACCGGCUAACUACGUG